This 72-nucleotide transfer RNA is filed under the name Candidatus Pacearchaeota archaeon. RNAcentral describes it as "tRNA-Thr". It matches the Rfam family "tRNA". From Rfam's summary of the family: Transfer RNA (tRNA) molecules are approximately 80 nucleotides in length. Their secondary structure includes four short double-helical elements and three loops (D, anti-codon, and T loops). Lineage: Archaea; Nanobdellati. The record is from RNAcentral.
GCCUGUGUAGCUCAGUGGUAGAGUAACUGAUUCGUAAUCAGUAGGUCGGGAGUUCAAAUCUCUCCACAGGCU